Molecule: long non-coding RNA, 243 nt
Organism: Salvelinus fontinalis (brook trout)
Lineage: Eukaryota; Metazoa; Chordata; Actinopteri; Salmoniformes; Salmonidae
Exons: 2
Source: RefSeq, a predicted model, not a curated record
AGUCUGAAUAAAGGCAGGUUGUGGGUAGCUAGAGAGGUAGUCUGAAUAAAGGCAGGUUAUGGAGAGGUAGUCUGAAUAAAGGCAGGUUGUGGAGAGGUAGUCUGAAUAAAGGCAGGUUGUGGGUAGCUAGAGAGGUAGUCUGAAUAAAGGCAGGUUGUGGGUAGCUAGAGAGGUAGUCUGAAUAAAGGCAGGUUGUGGGUAGCUAGAGAGGUAGUCUGAAUAAAGGCAGGUUGUGGAGAGGUA